UUUAAAGAAAGCGUAAUAGCUCACUAGUCGAGUCGGCCUGCGCGGAAGAUAUAACGGGGCUCAAACAUGGUACCGAAGCUACGGACUUGUGCUUGCACAAGUGGUAGAGGAGCGUUCUGUAAGCCGUUGAAGGUGGAUUGAGAAGUCUGCUGGAGGUAUCAGAAGUGCGAAUGCUGGCAUGAGUAACGACAAACACUGUGAAAGACAGUGUCGCCGAAAGUCCAAGGGUUCCUGCGUAAAGUUAAUCUUCGCAGGGUUAGCCGACCCCUAAGGCGAGGCCGAAAGGCGUAGUCGAUGGGAAUGCAGUGAAUAUUCUGCAGCCAGUGGAUGGUGACGAAUCCCGUAUGUUGUCCGACCUUAAUGGAUUGGUUGGGCCUCGAAGGGGUUCCAGGAAAUAGCCUCCACAUCAGAUCGUACCCGAAACCGACACAGGUGGACUGGUAGAGUAUACCAAGGCGCUUGAGAGAAGGGUGUUGAAGGAACUCGGCAAAUUGCCUCCGUACCUUCGGAAGAAGGAGGCCCU
RNAcentral lists this ribosomal RNA (523 nucleotides) under Diacronema lutheri. RNAcentral describes it as "partial Bacterial large subunit ribosomal RNA". It matches the Rfam family "Bacterial large subunit ribosomal RNA", at positions 1122 to 1753 of the family's 2925-position model. The record is from RNAcentral. Lineage: Eukaryota; Haptophyta; Pavlovophyceae; Pavlovales; Pavlovaceae.